Molecule: unclassified non-coding RNA, 253 nt
Filed under: uncultured Flavobacteriaceae bacterium
Lineage: Bacteria; Pseudomonadati; Bacteroidota; Flavobacteriia; Flavobacteriales; Flavobacteriaceae
Description: contains 16S-23S intergenic spacer region
Rfam family: Bacterial small subunit ribosomal RNA
Source: RNAcentral
UACAGAGGUCUCAAGCGUUACGCGGAAUCAUUGGGUUUAAAGGGUCCGUAGGCGGGUCGAUAAGUCAGUGGUGAAAGUCUGCAGCUCAACUGUAGAACUGCCAUUGAUACUGUUGUCCUUGAGUUAUUGUGAAGUGGUUGGAAUAUGUAGUGUAGCGGUGAAAUGCAUAGAUAUUAUAUAGAACACCGAUUGCGAAGGCAGAUCACUAACAAUGAACUGACGCUGAUGGACGAAAGCGUAGGUAGCGAACAGG